Molecule: long non-coding RNA, 391 nt
Filed under: Rattus norvegicus (Norway rat)
Lineage: Eukaryota; Metazoa; Chordata; Mammalia; Rodentia; Muridae
Description: long non-coding RNA NONRATT024865
Source: RNAcentral
CUGUGUUAGGCUAGGCACACCGGAUGCGGGGUCUUUUCCUGCCAAAGAGAUAACUAAACUAUAAUUAUGGAAACAGGAACUUCUGGUUGACUGGCUAGCCAGCCAGCACCCCAGCAGGCUUGCUGCAAGAGCCUCUUGUUUGCCCCUCUGGUGGUUUAGGGAAGGGCCCAGUCAUUGCAAAUGGCCCUGGUGAGACAGAGAAGGUGCAGCAGCUAGAGCAGCAGGUAAAGAGUCUGACCAAAGAGCUGCAAGGCCUUCGAGGUGUCCUUCAGGGAAUGAAUGGGCGCCUGGCAGAAGAUGUACAGAGGGCUGUGGAGGCGGCCUUUAAUGGGAGGCAGCAGCCAGCAGAUGCAGCUGCCCGCCCAGGUGUGCACGAAACCCUCAAUGAGAU